RNAcentral lists this ribosomal RNA (253 nucleotides) under uncultured bacterium. RNAcentral's name for it is "partial 16S ribosomal RNA". It matches the Rfam family "Bacterial small subunit ribosomal RNA", at positions 524 to 776 of the family's 1533-position model. The record is from RNAcentral.
UACGUAGGGGGCAAGCGUUGUCCGGAAUCAUUGGGCGUAAAGAGCGUGUAGGCGGCCCAGUAAGUCCGCUCUGAAAGUCCGGGGCUCAACCCCGGGAGGCGGGUGUAUACUGCUGGGCUCGAGUCCGGAAGAGGCGAGUGGAAUUCCUGGUGUAGCGGUGAAAUGCGCAGAUAUCAGGAGGAACACCUAUGGCGAAGGCAGCUCGCUGGGACGGUACUGACGCUGAGACGCGAAAGCGUGGGGAGCAAACAGG